CACUGCCCGGUAGCUAAAUGCGGAAGAGAUAAGUGCUGAAAGCAUCUAAGCACGAAACUUGCCCCGAGAUGAGUUCUCCCUGACCCUUUAAGGGUCCUGAAGGAACGUUGAAGACGACGACGUUGAUAGGCCGGGGGUGUAAGCGCAGCGAUGCGUUGAGCUAACCGGUACUAAUGAACCGUGAGGCUUAACCUUACAACGCCGAAGGUGUUUUAG
Molecule: ribosomal RNA, 216 nt
Filed under: Escherichia coli
Lineage: Bacteria; Pseudomonadati; Pseudomonadota; Gammaproteobacteria; Enterobacterales; Enterobacteriaceae
Description: partial 23S ribosomal RNA
Rfam family: Bacterial large subunit ribosomal RNA
Source: RNAcentral